UACGUAGGGGACAAGCGUUGUCCGGAUUUAUUGGGCGUAAAGAGCGCGUAGGCGGUUGUUCAAGUCGAGUGUGAAAGCCCCCGGCUCAACUGGGGAGGGUCAUUCGAUACUGAUCGACUUGAAGGCAGGAGGGGGAAGUGGAAUUCCCGGUGUAGUGGUGAAAUGCGUAGAUAUCGGGAGGAACACCAGUGGCGAAGGCGACUUCCUGGCCUGUUCUUGACGCUGAGGCGCGAAAGCUAGGGGAGCAAACGGG
RNAcentral lists this ribosomal RNA (253 nucleotides) under uncultured bacterium. RNAcentral describes it as "partial 16S ribosomal RNA". It matches the Rfam family "Bacterial small subunit ribosomal RNA", at positions 524 to 776 of the family's 1533-position model. The record is from RNAcentral.